AGAAUCAACGCUGGCGGCGUGCCUAACACAUGCAAGUCGAACGAGAAAGUGGAGCAAUCCAUGAGUAAAGUGGCGACCGGGUGAGUAACACGUGACUAACCUACCUUCGAGUGGGGGAUAACCUCGGGAAACCGGGGCUAAUACCGCAUAACAUCUUUGAAGUGGAAAUUUCGGAGAUCAAAGGAGCAAUUCGCUGGAAGAGGGGGUCGCGGCUGAUUAGCUAGUUGGCGGGGUAACGGCCCACCAAGGCUUAGAUCGGUAGCCGGCCUGAGAGGGCGCACGGCCACACUGGAACUGAAACACGGUCCAGACUCCUACGGGAGGCAGCAGUGGGGAAUUUUGCGCAAUGGGGGGAAACCCUGACGCAGCAACGCCGCGUGGAGGAUGAAGUCCCUUGGGACGUAAACUCCUUUCGACCCGGACGAUAAUGACGGUACGGGUGGAAGAAGCCCCGGCUAACUUCGCGCCAGCAGCCGC
RNAcentral lists this ribosomal RNA (477 nucleotides) under uncultured bacterium. Its description in RNAcentral is "SSU rRNA". It matches the Rfam family "Bacterial small subunit ribosomal RNA", at positions 26 to 518 of the family's 1533-position model. The record is from RNAcentral.